AUAGCCAUACCAUGUUGAAAAGCUGGUUCUCAUAUGAUCACCGAUGUUAAGCAACGUUGAGCCUGCUCAGUACCUAGAUGGGUGACCAAUUGGAUGUGCAGGUGAUGCAA
Molecule: non-coding RNA, 110 nt
Organism: Acanthosepion pharaonis
Lineage: Eukaryota; Metazoa; Mollusca; Cephalopoda; Sepiida; Sepiidae
Source: the annotation of a GenBank genome assembly